UACGGUAGGGUGCAAGCGUUGUCCGGAAUUAUUGGGCGAAAGAGCUCGUAGGCGGUCUGUCGCGUCGGAUGUGAAAGCCCGGGGCUUUAACCCCGGGUCUGCAUUCGAUACGGGCAGACUAGAGUGUGGUAGGGGAGAUCGAAUUCCUGGUGUAGCGGUGAAAUGCGCAGAUAUCAGGAGGAACACCGGUGGCGAAGGCGGAUCUCUGGGCCAUUACUGACGCUGAGGAGCGAAAGCGUGGGGAGCGAACAGG
RNAcentral lists this ribosomal RNA (253 nucleotides) under uncultured bacterium. Its description in RNAcentral is "partial 16S ribosomal RNA". It matches the Rfam family "Bacterial small subunit ribosomal RNA", at positions 524 to 776 of the family's 1533-position model. The record is from RNAcentral.